This 1027-nucleotide ribosomal RNA is filed under the name Pelicinus sp. Oon372. RNAcentral describes it as "partial 28S ribosomal RNA". It matches the Rfam family "Eukaryotic large subunit ribosomal RNA", at positions 80 to 842 of the family's 3401-position model. The record is from RNAcentral. Lineage: Eukaryota; Metazoa; Arthropoda; Arachnida; Araneae; Oonopidae.
UUAGUAACGGCGAGCGAACAGGGAACAGUCCAGCGCCGAAUUCCACGUUCUCUCUGGACGUUGGAAAAUGUGGCGUUUAGGAGGUCGCACGCCGAGUUCGGACUCUGCAGCAAGUCCCCCUGACCGGGGCAGUUACCCAGAGUGGGUGCGAGGCCCAUAGCUGCUAGGUCCGCUUCGGAUGCGAUCUCUUGGGAGUCAGGUUGCUUGGGAGUGCAGCCCCAAUCGGGUGGUAACUCCACCUAAGGCUAAAUACGGCCGUGAGACCGAUAGCAAACAAGUACCGUGAGGGAAAGUUGCAAAGAACUUUGAAGAGAGAGUUCAAGAGUACGUGAAACUGCUCAGAGGCAAACGGGUGGGCCCUCGAAAUCCCUUGGCAGGGGGAUUCAGUUUGGAAGGGCUUGGGCGAUGUGUGCCUCUGGACCCUGUCUGGGGCCGGGUAAAUGUCGCUGUCCGUGCCCGACCUGACGCAUUUCUCCUUGCACUGGGACGCCGCAUCCAGUUGGGUAGCUGCGCGAGUCGGCCAUGAGGGCGAGCACCGGAAGGUGGCCGGCGGUGGGGCACUAGCUCUGCUGCCGGUUGGUUAGCCAGUUCGCUCGUGGCGCGACACCCGACUGAGGUUAAUUGGUUCCUUUGUGGGAACUAGCCGUCUCCUUCAUCCUUUGGAGCGGGUGCUCCGGCAGGUGCAUCACGGUUUCGCUGCUCUACUGUCCGUAGUGUGUAGCGUGCCGUGUCCUCUGCUGGCCGGUUGCUACCGCGGGGGUGCCUAUGGCUAGCGGCGAGAUAGUCGGUAACCCACCCGACCCGUCUUGAAACACGGACCAAGGAGUCUAACAUGUGCGCGAGUCAUUGGGUCUUGAAUAGGCCCACAGGCGCAAUGAAAGUGAUGGUCGGCUAUGCGUCGUCCAUGUUGGGAUCUCUCGUCCUCUGCGGCGGGAAAGCACCAACGAUCCGUCCUGUCCGAUUCAUCGGUUGGGCGGAAUCGGAGCGCACACGUUGGGACCCGAAAGGUGGUGAACUAUGCCUGGGC